UGGGGAAUAUUGCACAAUGGGCGAAAGCCUGAUGCAGCGACGCCGCGUGAGGGAUGACGGCCUUCGGGUUGUAAACCUCUUUCUGUAGGGACGAAGCGCAAGUGAAGGUACCUGCAGAAGAAGCACCGACUAACGACGUGCUAGCAGCCGCGGUAAUACGUAGGGUGCGAGCGUUGUCCGGAAUUACUGGGCGUAAAGAGCUCGUAGGCGGUUUGUCACGUCGUCUGUGAAAUCCUAGGGCUUAACCCUGGACGUGCAGGCGAUACGGGCUGACUUGAGUACUACAGGGGGGACUGGAAUUUCUGGUGCAGCGGUGGAAUGCACAGAUAUCAGGAAGAACACCGAUGGCGAAGGCAGGUCUCUGGGUAGUAACUGACGCUGAGGAGCGAAAGCAUGGGUAGCGAACAGG
RNAcentral lists this ribosomal RNA (409 nucleotides) under bacterium. RNAcentral's name for it is "partial 16S ribosomal RNA". It matches the Rfam family "Bacterial small subunit ribosomal RNA", at positions 355 to 776 of the family's 1533-position model. The record is from RNAcentral.